This 897-nucleotide ribosomal RNA is filed under the name uncultured archaeon. Its description in RNAcentral is "partial 16S ribosomal RNA". The record is from RNAcentral.
GGAAAGAAUACCUAACGGUGUAAUACCGCAGGUAGACUGGACAUCUACCUGAUACAAGGAAUGCACCUAGGCUAAUCUCCUGCUGCCANGCACGCCAGCAGGCUAANUACGGUGACGUGGGUGCAUAAGCAGUUUAAUUCAGAGAAAUUACAUAGGAGCUGUACAAAGCAGUAGCAGUAAAAGCGGAGUCUACUAUUAAAAGUCAACCACUUGUUGAAUCAAUGCCCUCUGAGAGCAUAUAAUCCUNUAGGAGCAAUCAUAGCAGAUUAUCGAAUAACAUCGUGAAUAGAAUCUAAGAAGUAUUGAUGUUAAGACGAGAGGAACGAUUGAAUACUAUUCAAGAGUAGUAUGCCGAGUCGAAAAAUGCCGUUAUGAAGAAUCUCGAAAGAGAAACAACCAGUUAGGCUGAAAGGCUGAGCUCUUCUUGUGAUCUACAAAACUGUACGGCUUCGAGAGCUACUGAAACACGCCGUUGCGCGUAAGGCAAAGACGAAGGGAUUUAGUAUUACCCCAUGGGGUAAGCUCGCUACUGACCGGUCAAAACCGAUUGCUACAACUUAGACCGGUAUGGAGUUCCUUCUAAAGAAAGCAUUAAGUUGGUUGAGAGCGUAACACGUAUUUUAAGUUUGAACCGGCCCUGGAGAGGAGUUACAGAGCCAGCAAAGGACUUAAAAAAACUCAAAGAUUGAAAUUUGGACGCGAGGAGCCCCAGUACAAACGCCGGAUGAGCAGCAUUGUGCGUUUUAAAUGUCAGAAUAGCGAACCGNCAGAAUGGAACCCUUGUACCGUAUCCCUUUGAACAAUGCUAUGCGAAUUCCUUUCAAAGAUACGACGGAGUGCCUUUCGGGAAACGCUAACACCAGGUGCUGCAUGGCUGUCGUCAGCUCGUGUCGGGAG